UCGGGUUGUAAAGCACUUUUGUCCGGAAAGAAAUCCUGAGGGCUAAUAUCCUUCGGGGAUGACGGUACCGGAAGAAUAAGCACCGGCUAACUACGUGCCAGCAGCGCGGUAAUCGUAGGGUGCGAGCGUUAAUCGGAAUUACUGGGCGUAAAGCGUGCGCAGGCGGUUCGCUAAGACCGAUGUGAAAUCCCCGGGCUUAACCUGGGAACUGCAUUGGUGACUGGCGGGCUAGAGUAUGGCAGAGGGGGGUAGAAUUCCACGUGUAGCAGUGAAAUGCGUAGAGAUGUGGAGGAAUACCGAUGGCGAAGGCAGCCCCCUGGGCCAAUACUGACGCUCAUGCACGAAAGCGUGGGGAGCAAACAGGAUUAGAUACCCUGGUAGUCCACGCCCUAAACGAUGUCAACUAGUUGUUGGGGAUUCAUUUCCUUAGUAACGUAGCUAACGCGUGAAGUUGACCGCCUGGGGAGUACGGUCGCAAGAUUAAAACUCAAAGGAAUUGACGGGGACCCGCACAAGCGGUGGAUGAAGGUGGAUUAAUUCGAUGCAACGCGAAAAACCUUACCUACCCUUGACAUGGUCGGAAUCCUGCUG
Molecule: ribosomal RNA, 591 nt
Filed under: uncultured Burkholderia sp.
Lineage: Bacteria; Pseudomonadati; Pseudomonadota; Betaproteobacteria; Burkholderiales; Burkholderiaceae
Description: bacterial SSU rRNA
Rfam family: Bacterial small subunit ribosomal RNA
Source: RNAcentral